RNAcentral lists this unclassified non-coding RNA (298 nucleotides) under Hevea brasiliensis (rubber tree). Lineage: Eukaryota; Viridiplantae; Streptophyta; Magnoliopsida; Malpighiales; Euphorbiaceae. The record is from RNAcentral.
UUUAUAGUGCAUAACAGUAAUCAAAUCAAAAGGAAGAAGAAAUGGGUGAAAAGGGUUUACAAACGCCGGCGAGGAAAGUGUAUUUGUGGGUUCGAAAGCAAUCGAAGAAGGUGAAGACUGUUUUAGGUGUUGUUACAUGUCUCACCUUACUCAUUACUCUCAGAUUACUCAUCCAUGACCACAAUCACUUCUUUGUUUUAGCUGAGUUUGUUCAUUUCAUCGGUAUCUUAUGUUUGAUUUACAAGUUGUCUACUCUCAAAACUUGCUCAGGCUUGUCAUUGAAGAGUCAAGUGCUUAC